Otolemur garnettii (small-eared galago) is the source of this 107-nucleotide small nuclear RNA. The record is from Ensembl. Lineage: Eukaryota; Metazoa; Chordata; Mammalia; Primates; Galagidae.
GUGCUCGCUUUGGCAGCACAUAUACUAUAAUUGGAAUGAUACAGAGAAGAUUAGCUUGGCCCCUGUGCCAGGAUGACAUGCAAAUUUGUGAAGUGUUCCAUAUUUUU